GUCAGGAUGAUUGAGUGGUCUAAGGUGUCAAACUCAAGUUUUGGUCCUCGUGAGAGGGCGUGGGUUAAAAUUCUACUUUUGACA
RNAcentral lists this transfer RNA (84 nucleotides) under Ipomoea nil (Japanese morning glory). It matches the Rfam family "tRNA". Rfam says of the family: Transfer RNA (tRNA) molecules are approximately 80 nucleotides in length. Their secondary structure includes four short double-helical elements and three loops (D, anti-codon, and T loops). Lineage: Eukaryota; Viridiplantae; Streptophyta; Magnoliopsida; Solanales; Convolvulaceae. The record is from Rfam by way of RNAcentral.